RNAcentral lists this ribosomal RNA (502 nucleotides) under uncultured bacterium. RNAcentral describes it as "bacterial SSU rRNA". It matches the Rfam family "Bacterial small subunit ribosomal RNA", at positions 1 to 507 of the family's 1533-position model. The record is from RNAcentral.
CACGAGUUUGAUCCUGGCUCGAGGAUGAACGCUAGCGGCAGGCUUAACACAUGCAAGUCGAGGGGUAUAGUUCUUCGGAACUAGGAGACCGGCGCACGGGUGCGUAACGCGUAUGCAAUCUACCUUUCACAAAGGGAUAGCCCAGAGAAAUUUGGAUUAAUACCUUAUAGUAAUACGACUUGGCAUCAAGAUGUAUUUAAAGAUUUAUCGGUGAAAGAUGAGCAUGCGUCCCAUUAGCUUGUUGGUAAGGUAACGGCUUACCAAGGCAACGAUGGGUAGGGGUCCUGAGAGGGAGAUCCCCCACACUGGUACUGAGACACGGACCAGACUCCUACGGGAGGCAGCAGUGAGGAAUAUUGGUCAAUGGGCGCAAGCCUGAACCAGCCAUGCCGCGUGCAGGAAGACGGUCCUAUGGAUUGUAAACUGCUUUUAUACAGGAAGAAACACACCCUCGUGAGGGUACUUGACGGUACUGUAUGAAUAAGGACCGGCUAACUCCGUG